CUCUCUUUGUAUAUCAUAAAUAAAGAGUUGGGCCUGCUCGGUGAACAAUUGUUUUAACAGCUGCGGUAUUUUAACUGUACUAAGGUAGCAUAAUAAUUUGCCUUAUAAUUUGAGGCUAGAAUGAAUGGUUUGACGAAGGUUAAUCUGUCUCUACUUUAUUUUUUAGAAUUUAAUUUUUAAAGUGAAAAAGCUUGAAUAUUUUAAAGGGACGAGAAGACCCUAUUGAGCUUAUAAUUUUAUUGUUAUAUCAUUGUAAAUACAAUUGAGAAGCAUAUAAAUUUUAAUUGGGGUGAUUAAGGAAUAAUUUUUUGAAUAGUAACUUCCUUAUAUAUAAUUUUGUUAGGUAAAGUAACCAAUAUAGUAUUGCUUAUAAUAUAGUUACCAUAGGGAUAACAGCGUAAUUUGUUUAGAGAGUUCUUAUUGAAAAACAAGAUUGCGACCUCGAUGUUGGAUUAAAGUAACCUUAAGGUGCAGAAGCUUUAAUAGGUAAAUCUGUUCGAUUUUUAAAACUUUACG
This 516-nucleotide ribosomal RNA is filed under the name Onykia cf. carriboea HEB-2018. RNAcentral's name for it is "partial 16S ribosomal RNA". It matches the Rfam family "Bacterial large subunit ribosomal RNA", at positions 1816 to 2600 of the family's 2925-position model. Lineage: Eukaryota; Metazoa; Mollusca; Cephalopoda; Oegopsida; Onychoteuthidae. The record is from RNAcentral.